GACGAACGCUGGCGGCGUGCCUAAUACAUGCAAGUUGAGCGAUGAAGAUUGGUGCUUGCACCAAUUUGCAGAGCAGCGAACGGGUGAGUAACGCGUGGGGAAUCUGCCUUUGAGCGGGGGACAACAUUUGGAAACGAAUGCUAAUACCGCAUAACAACUUUAAACAUAAGUUUUAAGUUUGAAAGAUGCAAUUGCAUCACUCAAAGAUGAUCCCGCGUUGUAUUAGCUAGUUGGUGAGGUAAAGGCUCACCAAGGCGAUGAUACAUAGCCGACCUGAGAGGGUGAUCGGCCACAUUGGGACUGAGACACGGCCCAAACUCCUACGGGAGGCAGCAGUAGGGAAUCUUCGGCAAUGGACGAAAGUCUGACCGAGCAACGCCGCGUGAGUGAAGAAGGUUUUCGGAUCGUAAAAAUCUGUUGGUAGAGAAGAACGUUGGUGAGAGUGGAAAGCUCAUCAAGUGACGGUAACUACACAGAAAGGGACGGCUAACUACGUG
This 497-nucleotide ribosomal RNA is filed under the name uncultured bacterium. Its description in RNAcentral is "partial 16S ribosomal RNA". It matches the Rfam family "Bacterial small subunit ribosomal RNA", at positions 28 to 507 of the family's 1533-position model. The record is from RNAcentral.